RNAcentral lists this long non-coding RNA (1932 nucleotides) under Nicotiana tabacum (common tobacco). RNAcentral's name for it is "long non-coding RNA (NTAB_LNC011116)". Lineage: Eukaryota; Viridiplantae; Streptophyta; Magnoliopsida; Solanales; Solanaceae. The record is from RNAcentral.
UAGGCGAGUCGGUGAUUCAUCUAAUUGAUCAUCUGCCUGGAUAACGUUCCUUUGGGGACACUGACUUGCCACCACUGACCCUGUAAAACAGGUACAUGAGCACCUUCUACAUCUACUAGAGUACUUAAAUCACAAUAUUUUAUUGAAAAAUUAGUUUCCUAACACUUCCAUUUUAAAAAAGAAAACUCUUAAAUAAAUAAACAUACAUCUAAACAUAAAAGUUCAUGCAUGUAAAGGAAACAACUAAGUUCUGCCUCUCCAUUAAAUCCUUGACAAUGAAGAGGCUUUAGAAGUAGAGAUAUUCUUUGUACUUACUAUAUUAAAUACAUAAUACAAAUGAAGAUAUUUAUGAUCAAUUGGGAUAGCCUUGUUUAGACAAAGCUUAUAUAAAGUGGAUUGUGCUGGUUAGACUUCAUGUUUCCUAAUCAAGAAGAAACUUCAAAUCAGUGGCUUUCGUAACAAACAAACAUAAAAGGUUCUCCUAUUAUGAUCCGUUUGUCUCUACUGACUACCAUAAUUCUUUCAUAUUUGGUUUUAGAAAAACAAGGGAGGUUCUAUAGCCCAUUUAUAUUGUAGGAACGAAGAAAAGAAAAACUCUCCUAGUGAAUCACCUUAGAUAUUAGGCCUAGGGCUUAAUCGACAUACACUCCGGAUGUGUUUGGUACAAUGGCAGUUAUUCCAUAAAAGUACUUCCAUAAGGAAGUCAUUUUCUGGUGUUUGGUUGAUAUUUCCAUCAAAUGGGGGAAAAUGACUUUCUCAUUGUGUUGUAUUCCUAAUUUCGUUGAAUAUCUCCUGUAAUAGUGUCAUUGGCUUCUAACAGGUACUGCAAUACUUCUACACACAAUGCAACACUGAGGAAUAGUUUUGCCUUUUUCAAGAAGAUGUCAAUCUUCUUAUCAGACAAAAGAUGUCAAUCUACAUGCGAUCUCAGUGCAUAAAGCCUUCAUGAGAAAGUUAAGAAUGUCUUAUGAGAUUUGACUUAAUCUACCAAAAGGCAGCAUCUUGAGAACGAAGAGUGUGUUUGACUUAAACAAAGUUGUGCAUGCAGAUCAGUGGAAAAAACUAAGUGUCGGCUAAACCUAACAAAAGGCAGCAUCUUGAGAAUGAAGAAUGUGUUUGACUUUACAAUGUUAUGCAUUUGGAACGCACAGAUGAGUGAAGAAAUUAAGUGUUGGUUAUGCCUCUGUCUUAACCCCCUAGAUACGGUAAAUGCUUCCACUUUACCAGUCCGUAUAAUGCAGGUGGUCUUACACAUUGGACUGACCAGUUCUUUUUCCUACACUCUAAUACAACAAAUAAUAGCAAUACUUUCAAAACUUAGCUAUCUUAAUAACGAAAAGUUUAGUUUUUGAUAAGUAAAAAUACUAGUGAUAAGAAUAACCAAGUACUAUGUCUGGUUCUUGCUAAGUUAUUCCGAAAAGAAGACAAAAAUUGUGUCAGUCAACUAGCUAAAUUUUAGAAUCCUGACAAGCUAAGAAUGAUAAAAGAAUUUCUCAAAAUAGAGAAAAGUAGAGAAUUGUGCCUUAUAAGGGGGAAAAAGUCACUCACCACACAUUACUGUUGACAAGAGGAAUGACGGUAUGCAAGUGCCAUGCCUUCUUACCCCUGGCUGGAUGCCAUAAGAAUCUAACCCGACGGUGCUAUAAGAUGUAGCUGAUGGCCUUUGCUAAUCAUCAUUUCGGGAAAGGCAUUGCCCAGAGUCCAGCUUGCUUACAUAGUUUGUGAUCACAUCAAAUGCUCAGAGGAAAAAUGGAUUUUCACCAGCUUCAUGUUGUAAAGCCAUUAUGUUGAGAUAAUAGAUAGUAAUAAACUUCUCUGCUAUAAAAUGCCUCUGAUUUCCUAUACAUGGUCAGAUCUAAAAGAACCAGGUUUUAACUAAUUUUCAACGAUUUUGAACCUAAUCCUUGGUUCAGAGAAGGGAUCUUAAAUCCU